AGAGUUUGAUCCUGGCUCAGAACGAACGCUGGCGGCGUGGAUAAGACAUGCAAGUCGUGCGACAGACCAGGAAUUGAUUACUUCGGUUUGAUUUUCCUGACGAUGAGCGGCGAACGGGUGCGUAACACGUGAGAAAUCUGCCCUUAAGUUCGGAAUAGCCCUACGAAAGUAGAAUUAAUACCGGAUGUGGCCCAGGGAGGGCAUCUUCCCCUGGCUAAAGCUUGACCAGCAAUGGUUAGAGCGCUUUUGGAUGAUCUCGCGGUCUAUCAGCUUGUUGGUGAGGUAAUGGCUCACCAAGGCUUUGACGGAUAGCUGGUCUGAGAGGAUGAUCAGCCUCACUGGAACUGAGACACGGUCCAGACACCUACGGGUGGCAGCAGUCGAGAAUCAUUCACAAUGGGCGCAAGCCUGAUGGUGCGACGCCGCGUGGGGGAAGAAGGGCUUCGGUUCGUAAACCCCUGUCAUCUGUGAGUAAGACUCCCAAUAAAAGCUUGGGAGGUUGAUAUUAGCAGAAGAGGAAGGGACGGCUAACUCUGUGCCAGCAGCCGCGGUAAUACAGAGGUCCCAAGCGUUGUUCGGAUUUACUGGGCGUAAAGAGUGCGUAGGCGGCUAGAAAAGUUUGGUGUGAAAUCUUCGGGCUUAACCCGGAAACUGCACUGAAAACUAUCUGGCUAGAGGAUCGGAGAGGAGAUUGGAAUUCUC
Molecule: ribosomal RNA, 702 nt
Filed under: uncultured bacterium
Lineage: Bacteria
Description: bacterial SSU rRNA
Rfam family: Bacterial small subunit ribosomal RNA
Source: RNAcentral